Hemicordylus capensis (graceful crag lizard) is the source of this 567-nucleotide long non-coding RNA. RefSeq lists it as uncharacterized. The record is from RefSeq and is a predicted model, not a curated record. NCBI's taxonomy places the organism in Eukaryota, Metazoa, Chordata, Lepidosauria, Squamata, Cordylidae. The transcript is spliced from 4 exons.
CCGCUUCAUUCUCUUCGCGACCCAUCAUCUUUCUUUCUUUCUUUCUUUCUCUCUCCCGCAACCCCUGUCAUCCGCCGCUUGCACGCACCACCCACCUCAACAGUGACAGGGACGGAAAGACCUUCGGGGGAGCGGCGAUGGCGGAAAUGGCUGGCUAGUCUGUUGUAGGGGUACAGCCAGAAGAAAGAAACGAGAGACAAUAAUAUCCAGUUCUUCGCAAAUCUUGCCUACAUUGUUGAAGACAGACUGCCACCAUGGUUAGAAUACGAACACCACCCCCUAAAACAGAACCACAGUAUCGAUCUCUCAGCACAAGAGUGUCAAAAUGCAAAUCCAGUUCAGACAGCCAUCUAAACUAUCGUUUAGCUUAUUGUAAAAAAGCAAACAAAAAAACACCAUGACAAGCCUUGGGCUUCUGUACUCCUUCUUUCAUCCCCUCCAUGUGUACAAGGAGUGUGAAAACUUCUACUUUCACUUUACAAACGAUCAUUUCACAUAAUGUACAGACUUAAGGAACUAUGGUGUGUUAACUAGCUAGAGCUGGAAUAAACCGAGUUUUGAUCCUGA